GUUCAAUAUCCCUCUUAUCAGAUGCACCUAGGACCAAACAUUCUACUUCUUCGGAGGAUUGGCUUCCAUGUCCAAUAUCCUCGGUAGCAUGCUCUAUCUUAGAUAUCAGCUUUGGUUCCUUGAAGAUAUGUUCAUCUGUCAGGUCUUUGCCUUCCAGUUCUUCAUUCAGGUUCUUGUCUUCUACAUCUUCCUCAUUGAGGUUCUUGUAUUCCAGAUCUUCAAUUGAGCCCUGUGACUCUGUUUCAAGAACAGAACUUACUUUGGAAUCACUGAGAUCGCUGGGGUGCCUUUGUAAUGGUGAAUAACUUGUUCCUUCAGCAGCCAUCACAUCAGGAACAAAGUAAGGUCUAAAACGGGUAUCUUUCUUGUUCAGCCCAAAGAUUGAGGGCCCAACAUUAAAACUUUCAUGCCUCCUAAAAAAUGUCUCUUUUGGUUGAGAUGUGAUAAUCUCUUGAUCGAAAGUGUCUCCUGUAAGAUCAGGUUUUUCCUCACUUGGGUCAUAAGGAAGAUCAAAUGGGUUCCGCUUACACCUUGGCAACAAAAUAGAUGGAGCUGAUCCAGG
RNAcentral lists this unclassified non-coding RNA (562 nucleotides) under Hevea brasiliensis (rubber tree). Lineage: Eukaryota; Viridiplantae; Streptophyta; Magnoliopsida; Malpighiales; Euphorbiaceae. The record is from RNAcentral.